This 238-nucleotide ribosomal RNA is filed under the name Clostridium botulinum. RNAcentral describes it as "partial 23S ribosomal RNA". It matches the Rfam family "Bacterial large subunit ribosomal RNA", at positions 264 to 506 of the family's 2925-position model. The record is from RNAcentral. Lineage: Bacteria; Bacillati; Bacillota; Clostridia; Eubacteriales; Clostridiaceae.
GAGCCCAAACCAGAAACUUGUUUCUGGGGUUGUGGAUAGAUCAUAAAAGAAGAGGUAUCUUAAUCGAAGAGGGCUGGAACGCCCUACCAUAGAAGGUAAUAGUCCUGUAGGUAAAAAGAGAAAACUUCGAGAUCUAAUCCAGAGUACCACGAGACACGUGAAACCUUGUGGGAAGCAGGGAGGACCACCUCCCAAGGCUAAAUACUACCUAGUGACCGAUAGUGAAGCAGUACCGUGA